Molecule: transfer RNA, 66 nt
Filed under: Urosaurus nigricauda
Lineage: Eukaryota; Metazoa; Chordata; Lepidosauria; Squamata; Phrynosomatidae
Description: tRNA-Cys
Source: RNAcentral
AGUCCCGAGGUGUUUACACAUCAAAAUGCAAGUUUGAAGUAGGACACUAAGGUGUCCCGGGGCUUU